GUCCUAGGCAUCAUCACUUCAUCACUGCCC
RNAcentral lists this non-coding RNA (30 nucleotides) under Homo sapiens (human). The record is from RNAcentral. Lineage: Eukaryota; Metazoa; Chordata; Mammalia; Primates; Hominidae.